GUGUCAGCCGCCGCGGUAACACGAACUGUGCAAACGUUAUUCGGAAUCACUGGGCUUAAAGAGUUCGUAGGCGGCGCGUUAAGUCGGGUGUGAAAUCCCUCGGCUCAACCGAGGAAUUGCGCUCGAAACUGGCGUGCUUGAGUGAGAUAGAGGUGAGCGGAACUGAUGGUGGAGCGGUGAAAUGCGUUGAUAUCAUCAGGAACACCGGUGGCGAAAGCGGCUCACUGGGUCUCAACUGACGCUGAGGAACGAAAGCUAGGGGAGCGAACGGGAUUAGAAACCCCAGUAGUCC
Molecule: ribosomal RNA, 292 nt
Filed under: uncultured bacterium
Lineage: Bacteria
Description: partial 16S ribosomal RNA
Rfam family: Bacterial small subunit ribosomal RNA
Source: RNAcentral